CUGAGCGGCAGAGAGAAGAAGAGAGGCUGAAGAGCGACUAUGAUUCAGGUGAGAACCAUCAUCUUCAUUGGCUGGCAAUCUCUUCGACCCCAACAAGGACCAGCAGAAGUUCUAUGUGUAGUUUACGUGGCUUCCAUUUCUCAAACCACAAAGAGCUCUAGGAUGUAUUCCAUGGCUAGCCAUGUGUUUGUUGGCAAAGUUUGCUUUAGUCAAGAAACAUAUUGACCAUUCUGAUGCAACAGAUGAAGAUUACAAUCACAAAGGGAGGUUGUAUAAGUUUUUAAAGGCCUUUCUUGCUAUUUCACUGCUGGCUUUGGUCAUUGAAAUCGUUGCUUACUCCAAAAAUUGGAUUGGAGUUUGGUUCUUCCUUAUGGUGUUGUACAAUGGCCUUAUAUGGGCUGGUUGUCCUUAAGGGUUGAUUACCCUACUGCUCCCUUGCUGUUAGUGCUUUCCAAGUUUUGCAUUGUACCUUCAAGAUUGAGUCAUUGGAUCAAUUGGUGCUUUGUCUUAAAUGCUUCUGGAUUAAGGUCAAGAAGCUGAUGCUAAUAGUACGAGAAGCAUAUGAUAUUAAGGAUGA
Long non-coding RNA from Coffea eugenioides, 577 nucleotides. RefSeq lists it as uncharacterized. NCBI's taxonomy places the organism in Eukaryota, Viridiplantae, Streptophyta, Magnoliopsida, Gentianales, Rubiaceae. The transcript has 2 exons. The record is from RefSeq and is a predicted model, not a curated record.